GUGGGGAAUCUUAGACAAUGGGGGAAACCCUGAUCUAGCCAUGCCGCGUGAGCGAUGAAGGCCUUAGGGUUGUAAAGCUCUUUCAGCUGGGAAGAUAAUGACUGUACCAGCAGAAGAAGCCCCGGCUAACUCCGUGCCAGCAGCCGCGGUAAUACGGAGGGGGCUAGCGUUGUUCGGAAUUACUGGGCGUAAAGCGCACGUAGGCGGACCGGAAAGUCAGAGGUGAAAUCCCAGGGCUCAACCUUGGAACUGCCUUUGAAACUCCUGGUCUUGAGGUCGAUAGAGGUGAGUGGAAUUCCGAGUGUAGAGGUGAAAUUCGUAGAUAUUCGGAGGAACACCAGUGGCGAAGGCGACUGACUGGACAAGUAUUGACGCUGAGGUGCGAAAGCGUGGGGAGCAAACAGGAUUAGAUACCCGUGUAGUCC
RNAcentral lists this ribosomal RNA (425 nucleotides) under uncultured bacterium. RNAcentral describes it as "partial 16S ribosomal RNA". It matches the Rfam family "Bacterial small subunit ribosomal RNA", at positions 354 to 796 of the family's 1533-position model. The record is from RNAcentral.